AAAUGAAUUGACGGGGGCCCGCACAAGCGGAGGAACAUGUGGUUUAAUUCGAUGAUACGCGAGGAACCUUACCCGGGCUUGAAUUGCAGACUGAUCCGGCAGAGAUGCCGGAGUCCUUCGGGAAGUCUGUGAAGGUGCUGCAUGGUUGUCGUCAGCUCGUGCCGUGAGGUGUCGGCUUAAGUGCCAUAACGAGCGCAACCCCUAUUUUCAGUUGCCAUCAGUUUAAGCUGGGCACUCUGGAGAGACUGCCGCCGCAAGGUGUGAGGAAGGCGGGGAUGACGUCAAAUCAGCACGGCCCUUACGUCCGGGGCUACACACGUGUUACAAUGGCCGGUACAACAAGAGGGCUGCCCGCAAGGUCAGUCAAAUCCUGAAAACCGGUCUCAGUUCGGACUGGAGUCUGCAACUCGACUCCACGAAGCUGGAUUCGCUAGUAAUCGCGCAUCAGCCAUGGCGCGGUGAAUACGUUCCCGGGCCUUGUACACACCGCCCGU
Molecule: ribosomal RNA, 494 nt
Filed under: uncultured bacterium
Lineage: Bacteria
Description: bacterial SSU rRNA
Rfam family: Bacterial small subunit ribosomal RNA
Source: RNAcentral